Molecule: ribosomal RNA, 140 nt
Filed under: Giardia duodenalis
Lineage: Eukaryota; Fornicata; Diplomonadida; Hexamitidae
Description: Giardia intestinalis partial 18S small subunit ribosomal RNA
Source: RNAcentral
ACAAGCCAUGCAUGCCCGCACACCCGGGAAGCGGCGGACGGCUCAGGACAACGGUUGCACCCCCCGCGGCGGUCCCUGCUAGCCGGACACCGCUGGCAACCCGGCGCCAAGACGUGCGCGCAAGUGCGGACGCCCGCGAG